CUUGGCAAUUGUACAGCCUUGAAUCCUACUGUACUCAUCAGCGCUAAGUCCACACACUAACCAUUUCUUAGCUUUGGCAUUUUUCUCCCACUUCCUUAGGUCUUCAGCAGUACAAUUAGCUAUUUUUUUUGGAACAUCCAUUCCUUCAGCAUUCUUCUUGGUUGCAAAAAGAGGACCAUCAGUGAUGAUGUCCCAAAGUUCAUAAACUUCACCCAUGAUGUGGUCUUCCAUUCUGUUUUUCC
RNAcentral lists this long non-coding RNA (242 nucleotides) under Nicotiana benthamiana. Its description in RNAcentral is "long non-coding RNA (NBEN_LNC007601)". The record is from RNAcentral. Lineage: Eukaryota; Viridiplantae; Streptophyta; Magnoliopsida; Solanales; Solanaceae.